This 253-nucleotide ribosomal RNA is filed under the name uncultured bacterium. RNAcentral's name for it is "partial 16S ribosomal RNA". It matches the Rfam family "Bacterial small subunit ribosomal RNA", at positions 524 to 776 of the family's 1533-position model. The record is from RNAcentral.
UACGUAGGGGGCUAGCGUUGCUCGGAAUCACUGGGCGUAAAGGGCGCGUAGGCGGCCUGGUAAGUCGGGGGUGAAAUCCUGCGGCUUAACCGCAGGGCUGCCUUCUAAACUGUCAGGCUUGAGCACGGUAGAGGCAGAUGGAAUUCCCGGUGUAGCGGUGGAAUGCGUAGAGAUCGGGAAGAACAUCCGUGGCGAAGGCGGUCUGCUGGGCCGUUGCUGACGCUGAGGCGCGAAAGCGUGGGGAGCAAACAGG